This 468-nucleotide ribosomal RNA is filed under the name uncultured bacterium. RNAcentral's name for it is "partial 16S ribosomal RNA". It matches the Rfam family "Bacterial small subunit ribosomal RNA", at positions 28 to 507 of the family's 1533-position model. The record is from RNAcentral.
GACGAACGCUGGCGGCGUGCUUAACACAUGCAAGUCGAACGGAAAGGCCCUGCUUUUGUGGGGUGCUCGAGUGGCGAACGGGUGAGUAACACGUGAGUAACCUGCCCUUGACUUUGGGGUAACUUCAGGAAACUGGGGCUAAUACCGGAUAGGAGCUCCUGCUGCAUGGUGGGGGUUGGAAAGUUUCGGCGGUUGGGGAUGGACUCGCGGCUUAUCAGCUUGUUGGUGGGGUAGUGGCUUACCAAGGCUUUGACGGGUAGCCGGCCUGAGAGGGUGACCGGCCACAUUGGGACUGAGAUACGGCCCAGACUCCUACGGGAGGCAGCAGUGGGGAAUAUUGCACAAUGGGCGGAAGCCUGAUGCAGCAGCGCCGCGUGCGGGAUGACGGCCUUCGGGUUGUAAACCGCUUUCGCCUGUGACGAAGCGUGAGUGACGGUAAUGGGUAAAGAAGCACCGGCUAACUACGUG